UGAGGAAUAUUGGUCAAUGGACGCAAGUCUGAACCAGCCAAGUAGCGUGCAGGAUGACGGCCCUAUGGGUUGUAAACUGCUUUUAUGCGGGGAUAAAGUUUGGGACGUGUCCCAUUUUGUAGGUACCGCAUGAAUAAGGACCGGCUAAUUCCGUGCCAGCAGCCGCGGUAAUACGGAAGGUCCGGGCGUUAUCCGGAUUUAUUGGGUUUAAAGGGUGCGCGGGCGGCGCGUCAAGCCGGUGGUAAAAUUGCGGGGCUCAACCCCGUAGAGCCAUCGAAACUGGCGUGCUUGAGUGGAGAAGAAGUAUGCGGAAUGCGAGGUGUAGCGGUGAAAUGCAUAGAUAUCGCGCAGAACUCCGAUUGCGAAGGCAGCGUACUAUUCUCCAACUGACGCUGAGGCACGAAAGCGUGGGGAUCGAACAGGAUUAGAUACCCUGGUAGU
This 441-nucleotide ribosomal RNA is filed under the name uncultured Prevotella sp. RNAcentral's name for it is "bacterial SSU rRNA". It matches the Rfam family "Bacterial small subunit ribosomal RNA", at positions 355 to 794 of the family's 1533-position model. Lineage: Bacteria; Pseudomonadati; Bacteroidota; Bacteroidia; Bacteroidales; Prevotellaceae. The record is from RNAcentral.